ACCUGCAUUCGAAAGUGAUCGCGGCCCCGCCCGUGGCCCGGUCAUCGAUAGUGCAGGGAGAGGAACGCCGAGAGCUGUCCCGUGUUUGGGGGGGCGCGUCCCCUCCUCCCCAAACCCUGUCGCUGUCGGACA
Molecule: small nucleolar RNA, 132 nt
Filed under: Otus sunia (Oriental scops-owl)
Lineage: Eukaryota; Metazoa; Chordata; Aves; Strigiformes; Strigidae
Also listed under: 2 other names
Description: Small nucleolar RNA SNORA71 (ENSOSUG00000015072.1)
Rfam family: Small nucleolar RNA SNORA71
About the family: The members of this family belong to the H/ACA class of snoRNAs which bind a number of proteins (including dyskerin, Gar1p and Nop10p) to form snoRNP complexes. This class of snoRNAs are thought to guide the sites of modification of uridines to pseudouridines by forming direct base pairing interactions with substrate RNAs. This family includes U71 (SNORA71), ACA39 (SNORA39) and ACA60 (SNORA60).
Source: Rfam by way of RNAcentral